Passer domesticus (house sparrow) is the source of this 1803-nucleotide long non-coding RNA. RefSeq lists it as uncharacterized. The record is from RefSeq and is a predicted model, not a curated record. The transcript is spliced from 8 exons. NCBI's taxonomy places the organism in Eukaryota, Metazoa, Chordata, Aves, Passeriformes, Passeridae.
CAGGCCCAUCAGCCUGACUUCAGUGCCAGGGAAGGUUAGGGAGCAGAAUAUCUUGAGUGUGAUCAUGCAGCUCAUGCCAGAUGAGGGAUCAGGCCCAGUCAGCCCAGAUUCGUAAAAUGCAGGUCGUGCUUGACAAACCUGAUCCCUUUCUAUGGGAGUGUGAAAAAAGCCUGUGGAUGUUGUCUCCUUGGAAUUUAUUAAAGCCUUUGACACUGUCUCCCACUGCUUUCCCCUGGAGAAAUCAAGCUUGUGGCUUGGACAGCUGCACAGUUCAUGGGUUAAAAACUGUCUGGAUGGCUGGGCCCCAAGAGUGGUAGAGAAUGGAGUUACCUCCAGCUGGUGGCCAGUCACAGGAAGAUCAUUCUGGUGCUGGAGAGAGUCCACAGAAGGGCAGUGGAGCUGGGGCAGGGUCUGGAGAACAGGUCCAGUGAGGAGCAGCUGAGGGAGCUGGGGUUGUUUAUCCCGGAGAAAAGGAGCCUCAGGAGAGAUCUUUUUGCUGUCUAAAACUGCCAAAAAGGGUGCAUAGAAAGUUGAAGAGAGCAGUUCAUCCUGAUAAAGCACCUAUCACAGACAGCUGCAUCAGUCAGUACAGUAUGAAUGGGUUCACUCCAGUGGCAGGCUCCAACCUCACAGAAGCAGAAAGCAAUUGAACAGCCCAGAAGAUACAUCUGAUCACUUAAGAGAAAUUUCAAAAGUGCUACAAGCCAUGAAGACAAGUGCUCAGAGAUUACAGAACAGCAGUAGGACACCACUGAAAGAGUCACAACUCAAUAUUGAAGGGACACUUUCAAAAGUGUCUUUAAUAACAGGUCAGACCAUCUCAUCUUGGAUGGCCUCAGGGGCCUCUGAGCAAUCCAUGGAUGCACAGAGUACAAAGGUUGAAAAAGCAAUUGCAGGGAGAAGGUAAAAUCCAGAGGUGAACAUGACAGAAGAGAGAAAAAAACCUCUGUCCAGCUAUAGGAACCGCCAGUCAAGUUUGUAACCCAGUCGAAACUCAUUGAUUUGACCUUGAGAAAUAUCAGCACAAAGCUCAGGAUAGCAGAUCACAAAGGGAAUGUGGGAAAUUUACCCUGGACUUCCAGAGUUUCCAGCUAGAAGACAAUCCCUUGGAAUGACCCAGAAGGAAGCAACAUUUCCUAAGUCAGGCAGCUGUAGGAUUUUUUCUAAAUCCUGGCUGGAGAUUUUUGUGCACUACGGCUGAUCAUUCAUCUGUCCAGCCCUUUUAAGACUUCUCUUCAUUAUACCCAGGAGAUUCAAGUUUCAUUGUUAGUAAUAUAAGGCUGUGUCAUACCCUUAACAAGCAACAUAGCUGUUGGCAGCCCUUCACUAUCCUGAUUACCAGCUGAGAGUCAACACACCCUGUAAGCAUCUGUUCAUCAGUUCAGCAGAAUUACUCAGGACCCAGUGAGCAUCUGGCAUUCAAGAAUGCAGCUGUCUUUGUGGCAGGCAGGUUUACAGACAUGUUUUUUGCAACUGCUACUUUUUGAGCUCAUUUGCAGUUCACUCAUCUGCUAAAUACAGCAUGGCAAAUUAAAACAGGUUAUCCAAAGUGGUAUAGAGUUUUGCUCACUACUGCAACUCACUGAGAGACUCAUAGCUUCUUUUGUUAUUAGUAUACAUAGCAUUCAGGUAUCCAUUCACCGAAGGGAUUAAACUGACCGUAUCUCUGCAGGCUCUGCAAGGGCUCUCCACUCUCCGCCCUGAGGACGGAGCUUCUGCAAGGGAUAUCUCUGAGCUCAAGGCAUUUCUGCACCUACCUACAGAAGCCAUGUCCUCUCCUCUGUAGGGGUACCUCUGGCCGGG